Molecule: long non-coding RNA, 228 nt
Filed under: Ananas comosus (pineapple)
Lineage: Eukaryota; Viridiplantae; Streptophyta; Magnoliopsida; Poales; Bromeliaceae
Description: long non-coding RNA (ACOM_LNC040599)
Source: RNAcentral
AGUUUCAACUAUUAGAUCAAAAUCUAAUGGAUAAGAUUUUAUAAAUUUAUUUUUUAUAUAUAUUUAAUCUAAUCUUUUUUAAUUUAUUGUUCGUUGACCAGCUCGUGAGCCAGCUCGUAUUCGGCUUGUUAAUAAACGAACCGAACACGAGCUGAAUUUUUCGGCUUGAUACUUUAACGAGUCAGCUCAUGUUCGGCUCGUUUAAUAAACGAGCCGACCCCAACUCGC